GGCACGUUAGUUGCAGUCUACCUCCACCAACAGGGUGGAAAACAAAGGUCGCCAUUCCGAUUAGCUGCUAUCUCCCAGUUCAAGCACUUUUGCUGUCUGGACACUGGUUCCUGUGGAUGGGCUGUUACAAGCUUCACUGUCUGAUAUAGAAGUGAUGAGCAUCCAUAAGGACACAUGGCAGAAAGGGAAUCUCUUUGAGAUGACAAACCCUCAUCACCUCAUGAGGAUACAAUGGUUGACGAAUGGUUCUCAAGUACAUCGAAACUUCAACAAAUAAUUCAUGAAAAAGCCAGUCAGUGCUAGCACCAGGAAUUGAACGUGGACCGUCCUGCUACCAGUCAGAGAUGUUACAUUUCAGGCGCUCAUUGACUUUUGGUGCAUUACUUGUUGACUUUGUCCCAAGGUGGAGCUCGCCACAGCUCAUUUGUCUAUCUGUUAAUGUUGUGGCGUGUGUUGCGUUUUUCUCUUUGUGUGUUCCAGACUCAGAACGGUUAAUUUGGAUCAGGUCAGGUACGUUUCAUUUAGACAUGGCAAACAUAAAGUGGUGUUUCUCAACACAACUUAGCAGUGGCCUUCAUGCAUUACUGCCACGGCCAUUAAGCGUGAAUGGAAGGCUGGACAUUAUGCAUGAUGUAAAACCCCAAGACUAGGAACACGAAGGGACAAACACAAACACGUCCCUUUGUGUUCCCUAGUCACGGGGUUUUACAUAUGCGUCAUCUUCACCAGCUCACUUGCUUCCUAGCCAUUUUUUCUGCACAUUAUGUUCACUCUACUUCGAUCGUGUGCUAUGUAAUCUUGUUCAAGUUCUGUCAAACGACGUGUAAUGCUAUAAAAAAAUUCAGUACACUGUUUAUGUGGGUUGAAUGGUAGCGCAUAAAUGCAGAAAGGGAACUGUCAUGUUAUGGAAAGUGUUUACGUAUUGUACAUUUAACUACUAAUUUUAUUGGUUAGCUUUCGCCGGCAUAUGAUGUCAAGCCAUGUUAUAUUAAUUUGGAACAUGUUCUUCUUAGUAGCCAGAGCAGCUGACACACAUUGAGAACAUAGCCCGUGUGUGUUUGUCUUUUCCACCGCAGCCCUUGGGUUUCCUCCCUGAUGGCUACACAUGUCAGGGAUAGGUUUCAGAACCGGUAGUUCCCGCCAAGUGUGAAUUACUUUUCAGGGGAUCAUCACGCUGGCAGAUGAAACAUAUCGUUUAAAUUAUUUGCAGGACAGGAAUUGCGUAGCUUCACACAAAUACUACUACUACGACGUACCCCAAGAACACACUGUCAUCCGAGGGCUAUCCUAAGGUUGUCAGAUGGGGACAGGUAUGGCAUCCCUAGGACGUCAGAAUCUGAUCCUCAGAAUGUCAUAAUACUGCCACUUUGGCAUAUGAGAUGAUAUCCCCGAGGCUGUCCCUCGCCCGUCCUCAGGGACCAAUUUAGGACAGUUUAAGUACACAUGGAGGACAAUGCUUUCCCUCCAUUCCCUGCUUUGAUUUGUUUGAUUUUGCUAUUUCUGGCACGCACAUCCGCCAAGUGCUUGCAGAAGUUACAUCAAAUUGCAAUGACACCAAAGUUACGGCAGCAUUUUUAUUGUUCCAUUGAGAAACAGAAUCUUGUCAAGGACACUAAGCCUGAAAAAUCCUCGUAUUGCCAACUGUAGGGUGGGACAAGCUCGCCCACACCGAAAGGUACUAGAAUUCUCUUCCGAAGCCAUAACAUAUACCAUUUGUUGCUUAUAACGCGACCCACCGUAAAUUCGAGAGUCCUGCUCGCCUGCGACGCAAAACGAAGGGUGAGCUGUCCAUGUUUCUUCCGA
Ornithodoros turicata is the source of this 1803-nucleotide long non-coding RNA. RefSeq lists it as uncharacterized. The record is from RefSeq and is a predicted model, not a curated record. The transcript is spliced from 3 exons. NCBI's taxonomy places the organism in Eukaryota, Metazoa, Arthropoda, Arachnida, Ixodida, Argasidae.